Molecule: ribosomal RNA, 301 nt
Filed under: uncultured bacterium
Lineage: Bacteria
Description: partial 16S ribosomal RNA
Rfam family: Bacterial small subunit ribosomal RNA
Source: RNAcentral
CAGCAGCCGCGGUAAUACGUAGGGUGCAAGCGUUAAUCGGAAUUACUGGGCGUAAAGCGUGCGCAGGCGGUCCGCUAAGACAGAUGUGAAAUCCCCGGGCUUAACCUGGGAACUGCAUUUGUGACUGGCGGGCUAGAGUAUGGCAGAGGGGGGUAGAAUUCCACGUGUAGCAGUGAAAUGCGUAGAGAUGUGGAGGAAUACCGAUGGCGAAGGCAGCCCCCUGGGCCAAUACUGACGCUCAUGCACGAAAGCGUGGGGAGCGAACAGGAUUAGAUACCCCGGUAGUCCCUGUCUCUUAUAA